UUUUUAUUACUCUUCCAAACUUAGCUCAAUCCCUCUCAUCCACUCAAACUCACAAAUUCUUUCAGGGGUUUCUUCUCCAAAUUCUCUCCAAGGAUCUUCAAUUCAAUUAGGAUUUCAUCAAGCUUCAAGGUUUCUUCCUCCAUUUUCAGGACUUUGAUUACCCAAGGUACAUGCGAAUUCAUCAAUGGAUUCCUUUCAUCCAUUGGUUUCCAAAAGAAAAUCAAUCUCUAAUUCAAUUUCACCCAAAUUAUGUAGGUUUCAUGUUGAUCUUCAUGGGUCCAAUUUAUUAUAAUAAAUUUUUAAUAUUUAAUAUUAUUAUGCACGAUUUGAUUCAAGUACAUGUAUUUUAAUUGAUUUCAUAUAGACCUAUGUUUUAUGCUUGACUUUAUAUAUGAACUUGUGAACUUCAAUUUAUGAAUUGAUUAUGAAUUCAUGCAUAUUUUAUGAAAUUGAUAAUUUAUAACUAAAAGGUAUUUAAAUAUAAAAUUUCAAUGAUUCGUGAAAAGGUUUUCUUAUUUGAAAAGAAAUCACGAUUUAGAUGCUUAGAUAAGUAAAUGUCUUAGGAACAAGUUUAUGAAAUCAUGAUUUUUAAAUGAGCUAUUCUAAUAUGAACUUAUGAUUGGAUUGAUUGUCUUUAAUUGUUGUCUUUCCAAGUAUUUUGAUGAUAAUUAUUUAUUUUCUAUUGGGAUUACUUAGCAGUGAGAGGACUUUGAGAUAGAGGUCUUCCCAUUAUGAAAGGUUGGUCUCUAGAAGCAAUCUCCUUGUCUCAUUCUACGUGCACCCGUAGAAUUGUCUUAAGUGACCUAGCUAGUGGAUCCACCUUAUAAAUAAUGAAUGAUAUAGACUUCUAACUUGGAAAAAAGGCUUCUAUAUUUUUGGUGUUAAGGUUACAUUGGAUUUUAUGUUAUAGAUGACAUAGUCUUAUUGUCGGUUAACAACAAAUAUCUCGCAAAUGAGCUAUGUUUUUUCAAAAGUCUUUUAGAGCAUUUUUAAGAUUUUCAAUAUGCAUUGACCUUGUCAUGAACCAUGAUCCUCUUUAAAGGAUUUUACAACAUCCUACUUUGUCAUGCACAUCAUGAUCAAGUUCAUCAAAUAUCAUGCCUACGAUUUAUGUAUUUCACUUAACUCGUUAUUAUCAAAGUACUGAUGCACAAUGUGUCUGUAUUGUUUCAUAAUGUAGGAUUCAACGUUCCUCCUCUUGGAUGUGGAUAGAUAGAGAUUGCUCUACUACAAAUUGGAUUGGUGAAUCCUCAUAUUUUGAGAGCAAGGCUAUGGACUGCUUUAUUACUUUUUGAUGUCAUUGAGUUUUUAGAUUUCAUUUAUGACAUAUGGGUUUGAUCUAGUCACAUCUAUGAGUAAAAAAGGCUUAUGUCAAACUUAGUAGUAUUUCACAUGUUCUCUUAUGUACUCAUUUGAUAUCGCUUAUCUCAUUUACAAUGAUGAGACUUAUAUUGUUUACUACUUUUUGAGCAUGUGCUUCGCACGUGUGUUUCAUGUAACAAUUACAAAAUAAUAAUAAAG
This 1521-nucleotide long non-coding RNA is filed under the name Solanum lycopersicum (tomato). Its description in RNAcentral is "long non-coding RNA (SLYC_LNC001134)". The record is from RNAcentral. Lineage: Eukaryota; Viridiplantae; Streptophyta; Magnoliopsida; Solanales; Solanaceae.